Pelobates cultripes (western spadefoot toad) is the source of this 156-nucleotide non-coding RNA. The record is from the annotation of a GenBank genome assembly. Lineage: Eukaryota; Metazoa; Chordata; Amphibia; Anura; Pelobatidae.
AGCACCAGGUAUCAUUUUUUCGUUGGUUGGAGUGCAGGAAUCUUUUUUUUUUUUUUUUUUUUAUAUAAUAUAUAUAUAUAUAUAUAUAUAUAUUAUAUAAAAAAAAAAAAAACAGAUUCCUGCACUCCAACCAACGAAAAAAUGAUACCUGGUGCU